RNAcentral lists this ribosomal RNA (466 nucleotides) under uncultured bacterium. RNAcentral's name for it is "partial 16S ribosomal RNA". It matches the Rfam family "Bacterial small subunit ribosomal RNA", at positions 28 to 505 of the family's 1533-position model. The record is from RNAcentral.
GACGAACGCUGGCGGCGUGCUUAACACAUGCAAGUCGAACGGAAAGGCCCUGCUUUUGUGGGGUGCUCGAGUGGCGAACGGGUGAGUAACACGUGAGUAACCUGCCCUUGACUUUGGGAUAACUUCAGGAAACUGGGGCUAAUACCGGAUAGGAGCUCCUGCUGCAUGGUGGGGGUUGGAAAGUUUCGGCGGUUGGGGAUGGACUCGCGGCUUAUCAGCUUGUUGGUGGGGUAGUGGCUUACCAAGGCUUUGACGGGUAGCCGGCCUGAGAGGGUGACGGGCCACAUUGGGACUGAGAUACGGCCCAGACGCCUACGGGGGGAAGCAGUGGGGAAGAUUACACAACGGGCGGAGGCCUGAUGCAGCAACGCCGCGUGCGGGAGGACGACCUUCGGGUGGUAAACCGCUUUCGCCUGUGACGAAGCGUGAGAGACGGUAAGGGGUAAAGAAGCACCGGCUAACUACG